Molecule: ribosomal RNA, 912 nt
Filed under: Pseudomonas fragi
Lineage: Bacteria; Pseudomonadati; Pseudomonadota; Gammaproteobacteria; Pseudomonadales; Pseudomonadaceae
Description: bacterial SSU rRNA
Rfam family: Bacterial small subunit ribosomal RNA
Source: RNAcentral
CCCCCUCCUACGGGUUUUUGACCCCCCAUGAGAGUUUUGAUCUGCUCAGAUUGAACGCUGGCGGCAGGCCUAACACAUGCAAGUCGAGCGGUAGAGAGAAGCUUGCUUCUCUUGAGAGCGGCGGACGGGUGAGUAAUACCUAGGAAUCUGCCUGAUAGUGGGGGAUAACGUUCGGAAACGGACGCUAAUACCGCAUACGUCCUACGGGAGAAAGCAGGGGACCUUCGGGCCUUGCGCUAUCAGAUGAGCCUAGGUCGGAUUAGCUAGUUGGUGAGGUAAUGGCUCACCAAGGCUACGAUCCGUAACUGGUCUGAGAGGAUGAUCAGUCACACUGGAACUGAGACACGGUCCAGACUCCUACGGGAGGCAGCAGUGGGGAAUAUUGGACAAUGGGCGAAAGCCUGAUCCAGCCAUGCCGCGUGUGUGAAGAAGGUCUUCGGAUUGUAAAGCACUUUAAGUUGGGAGGAAGGGCAUUAACCUAAUACGUUGGUGUCUUGACGUUACCGACAGAAUAAGCACCGGCUAACUCUGUGCCAGCAGCCGCGGUAAUACAGAGGGUGCAAGCGUUAAUCGGAAUUACUGGGCGUAAAGCGCGCGUAGGUGGUUUGUUAAGUUGAAUGUGAAAUCCCCGGGCUCAACCUGGGAACUGCAUCCAAAACUGGCAAGCUAGAGUAUGGUAGAGGGUAGUGGAAUUUCCUGUGUAGCGGUGAAAUGCGUAGAUAUAGGAAGGAACACCAGUGGCGAAGGCGACUACCUGGACUGAUACUGACACUGAGGUGCGAAAGCGUGGGGAGCAAACAGGAUUAGAUACCCUGGUAGUCCACGCCGUAAACGAUGUCAACUAGCCGUUGGGAGUCUUGAACUCUUAGUGGCGCAGCUAACGCAUUAAGUGACCGCCUGGAGACCCCCACC